AAGCCGAGCAGUGCGAAGCAGUCGCGGGUGACUCCUGGGCUGUUUUAAGCACUGUCUAAGACUGCUCAGACUUGUAUAAUGUUGCUAAGUAGCAGGAUUAAAGGAUUAAAUUCUCUACAUUCUAGAAUCCAGGUUUGGAAACUUUUUGGAAAAGAAGGCUGCCUGGCUGCGGGAAGGAGCCUGUCCUAUGAGGUUGAUUACAACAUGGAAUUUCUACCCAUAAAAGUCAAAAGCUUUGAAAAAAAUCAUCAAGGAUUUCCAGGCAUGGUGGCAUAUGCCUGUAAUCCCAGCACUCAGGAGGCCGAGGCAGGAGGAUCGUUAUCAGUUUGA
This 330-nucleotide long non-coding RNA is filed under the name Chinchilla lanigera (long-tailed chinchilla). Its description in RNAcentral is "lncRNA (ENSCLAG00000025368.1)". Lineage: Eukaryota; Metazoa; Chordata; Mammalia; Rodentia; Chinchillidae. The record is from RNAcentral.